UCUUCAAUUUCCAUACCUAAUAAUUCUUCAAUUAAGUCUUCAUGUGACACUAUCGCUUCGGUACCACCAAAUUCGUCCAACACAAUUGCUAAAUGUUUUCUAGAAAUAGUCAUCUUACGUAAUACCCAUUCAGCUUUAUUGUGUUCAUUCACAAAUAAUGGCUUAGCUGAAUAGUUUGUAAUUUGAUCUUCUUUUUUAUUACUCCAAGCCAACAGAUAUUUAGAAUGAAACACCCCAAUAAUGUUAUCAAUAUCUCCCUCGUACACUGGAUAUCUAGUGUA
Molecule: small RNA, 281 nt
Filed under: Staphylococcus aureus
Lineage: Bacteria; Bacillati; Bacillota; Bacilli; Caryophanales; Staphylococcaceae
Description: HMPRFS0000_0945
Source: RNAcentral